AGUAUUUUUGUGGGCUCGGGAUGGGAUGGGAGCGACAAUUGAUUCCUGUGUCACCCUCUAGUUUGUACAUCAUCUAAUCCCUCUACUCACGUCUUAGUCCUAGCCUUAGCCUGAGGAGGCAAGGAAGAGACAUGAGGAAAAAGGAGUCGAGGCAACAGGCAUUUAACAAAAGGAGACAUCUGGGCUUUGGAGCCCACGCCUCUUUUAGUGUAUACGUCACAGGUGUCAAAAAGACUUACACAAAGGGUACACCUGUGCAUCCAGUUAUAGGUCCUCCGGCAAGCCUACUCUCUCCUAGAGAUAUAUUUUAGGAAUUGAGACAUCCUUCAAGAUGGCGCGCUGAGAUCGAUUUCCAGAUCACAGGCAGAGGAUGGAGGAGACGAGGAGGCACGAAAAACAGAAAUGAGAAGAGCCCUUUGUUGUUGUCACCAGUGCAUUGUGGGAUAUUUAUGCCGGUGUAGUGUCCAGUGUGUCACGGCCUGGCCAUGACUCGGGAUGCUGUUUUCCUUUUUUUGGUCAUGUGUGGAGUGAGUGAGUGUGUGUAGGCGUGGUCUUUCCAUCAGGGCACCUGGCUCUCCAGCGCAGCUGCAGGCAAUUCACCAAUCAAGCUCCAGCACUAGUGCUCCUGUGAUCCAGGCAGCCAGCGCCAGUUCGUUUCAGUCCGUCAAGCGACGCUGAAGGUCUACCUACUCCUCGCUUCCAGCCACGCCACCAGCCCUGUGUGUUUUCGAGGCUGCCGUGCCUAUCUCCACUCCUCCACUCCAUUUGGGUCACCAUCCUCCUACGUGGAUUUACAAGAUGUCUGUUCGGCUGACCUUACAUUAAAGAACUGUUAACUCCCAA
Molecule: long non-coding RNA, 843 nt
Organism: Perca fluviatilis (European perch)
Lineage: Eukaryota; Metazoa; Chordata; Actinopteri; Perciformes; Percidae
Exons: 2
Source: RefSeq, a predicted model, not a curated record